This is a non-coding RNA of Oryza sativa Japonica Group (Japanese rice), 589 nucleotides long. The record is from RefSeq and is a predicted model, not a curated record. Lineage: Eukaryota; Viridiplantae; Streptophyta; Magnoliopsida; Poales; Poaceae.
GCAAUGCAGUUGGAUCUGCUGGCACAAUGUGGCAUAGGUUAGUGCUUGCUCCCACAUGGCUUGAAAUUGGCAUUGAUAUCUAGAUUUUUCAGCCCUUUAGAAACACCAUCCGACUCGCUGGAAAUGUACUGACAGGCGAGCUUUCUGGGAGAAACAUUGUGCGCAUUAUACUGAACUUCAUUCACCAGGUAGAGAGAUAGCAGAAAGGUAUGCCGAUCAACGAUCUUGUGGGUCCCCAAUGACAAAAAUGAUGGGUCUUCGGAAAGAAUUCUAGAGAUAAGUCGACGUGUGUUAAAAAUUGAGGAGUUUGGCACAAGGAUGGAAGAAGAUGGGAGCAUCUGUACUAUGGUAGUAUGGUCUAUAUUAGAUUAUGCAAUACUCCAAUACAAGAAUGGGAGAAGAUGUGAACUCUGGUUCUCUGAAUUAUUAGUCACCAGCAACAACAUUACAAUGAAAUAGUACAACAAGCUUUUAGGCAUUGGCUAACCUUUUCUGCUCCAUGCAAUGGUAAUGGAAAAAUCACAGUUGCAAGCUAAGAAUUAACCGGACAAUAUGAAUAUACAUAUAUGAAAUUUGCGAUUCUUCUUUA